GGGUGAGUAAUGCUUAGGAAUCUGCCUAUUAGUGGGGGACAACGUUUCGAAAGGAACGCUAAUACCGCAUACGUCCUACGGGAGAAAGCAGGGGAUCUUUGGACCUUGCGCUAAUAGAUGAGCCUAAGUCGGAUUAGCUAGUUGGUGGGGUAAAGGCCUACCAAGGCGACGAUCUGUAGCGGGUCUGAGAGGAUGAUCCGCCACACUGGGACUGAGACACGGCCCAGACUCCUACGGGAGGCAGCAGUGGGGAAUAUUGGACAAUGGGGGGAACCCUGAUCCAGCCAUGCCGCGUGUGUGAAGAAGGCCUUUUGGUUGUAAAGCACUUUAAGCGAGGAGGAGGCUUCUUUGGUUAAUACCCAAAGUAAGUGGACGUUACUCGCAGAAUAAGCACCGGCUAACUCUGUGCCAGCAGCCGCGGUAAUACAGAGGGUGCAAGCGUUAAUCGGAUUUACUGGGCGUAAAGCGUGCGUAGGCGGCUAAUUAAGUCAAAUGUGAAAUCCCCGAGCUUAACUUGGGAAUUGCAUUCGAUACUGG
RNAcentral lists this ribosomal RNA (537 nucleotides) under Acinetobacter sp. GSM-1. Its description in RNAcentral is "bacterial SSU rRNA". It matches the Rfam family "Bacterial small subunit ribosomal RNA", at positions 104 to 636 of the family's 1533-position model. The record is from RNAcentral. Lineage: Bacteria; Pseudomonadati; Pseudomonadota; Gammaproteobacteria; Moraxellales; Moraxellaceae.